UUAUAUUAAGAGUUUGAUCCUAGCUCAGGAUGAACGCUGGCGGCGUGUCUAAGGCAUGCAAGUCGAGCGACGUGUUCCCCGCAAGGGGAAUUACGAGCGGCAAACGGGUGAGUAACACAUUGGUAACCUACCUCUAAGUCGGGGAUAGCCUGCCGAAAGGCGGAUUAAUACCCGAUAGUAACGCGGGGGCAAAAGUCAUUCGCGUUUAAAGAUUCAUUGCUUAGAGAGGGGCCUAUGUCUGAUUAGCUAGUUGGUGGGGUAAUGGCCCACCAAGGCUAUGAUCAGUAGCAGGCGUGAGAGCGUGACCUGCCUCACUGGGACUGAGAUACUGCCCAGACACCUACGGGUGGCUGCAGUCGAGAAUAUUCCACAAUGGGCGAAAGCCUGAUGGAGCGACGCCGCGUGCAGGAUGAAGGUUUUCGGAUCGUAAACUGCUUUUCUCAGGGAAGAAUUCGUGACGGUACCUGAGGAAUAAGAGGUUGCUAACUCUGUGCCAGCAGCAGCGGUAAUACAGAGACCUCAAGCGUUAUCCGGAUUUACUGGGCGUAAAGCGUCCGUAGGUGGUUUAGCGGGUUAAGAGUUAAAACUUCGUGCUCAACACGAAGGCCGCUCUUAAAACUACUAAACUAGAGAGUGGGAGAGGUAAGCGGAAUUGCAGGUGUAGUCGUAAUAAGCGCUGAUAUCUGCAAGAACACCAAAUGCGAAGGCAGCUUACUAGAACACUUCUGACACUGAGGGACUAAAGCGUGGGGAGCAAACAGGAUUAGAUACCCUGGUAGUCCACGCCCUAAACGAUGCAUACUAGGUAUUGGCAGUAUCGACCCUGUCAGUGCCGUUUAAAAAAGCAAACGCGUUAAGUAUGCCGCCUGGGGAGUACGAGCGCAAGCUUAAAACUCAAAGGAAUAGACGGGGACCCGCACAAGCAGUGGAGCAUGUGGUUUAAUUCGAUGAUAAACGGGGAACCUUACCUGGGCUCAACUACUAGCUGCAGUCGCGCAGAAACGUGCGACGCCUUCGAGGGUGCUAGAUAGGUGCUGCAUGGUUGCCGUCAGCUCGUGCCGUGAGGUGUACCGUUAAGUCGGGAAACGAGCGCAACCCACGUCGUGUGUUAAAUUGUACACGCGAGACUGCCUACGCAAGUAGGAGGAAGGAGUGGACGACGUCAAAUCAGCAUGGCUCUUACGUCCAGGGCUACACACAUGCUACAAUGGCCGGUACAAUGGGUCGCUAAACCGCGAGGUGGAGCUAAUCCCACCAAAACCGGUCUCAGUUCAGAUUGCAGGCUGCAACUCGCCUGCAUGAAGUUGGAAUUGCUAGUAAACGCGUAUCAGCCACGGCGCGUUGAAUACGUUCUCGGGUCUUGUACUCACCGCCCGUCACACCACGGAAGUUGGCAAUGCGCAAUAUCUCCUUUGGGGACGAACGCAGGGUCAAUGACUAGGGUGAAGUCGUAACAAGGCAUCCGUAGCGGAAGCUGUGGAUGGAUCACCUCCUUUCU
Molecule: ribosomal RNA, 1498 nt
Filed under: Candidatus Magasanikbacteria bacterium CG10_big_fil_rev_8_21_14_0_10_36_32
Lineage: Bacteria; Candidatus Magasanikiibacteriota
Description: bacterial SSU rRNA
Rfam family: Bacterial small subunit ribosomal RNA
Source: RNAcentral